This 575-nucleotide ribosomal RNA is filed under the name uncultured bacterium. RNAcentral describes it as "bacterial SSU rRNA". It matches the Rfam family "Bacterial small subunit ribosomal RNA", at positions 915 to 1485 of the family's 1533-position model. The record is from RNAcentral.
GGGGGCCCGCACAAGCGGCGGAGCAUGCGGAUUAAUUCGAUGCAACGCGAAGAACCUUACCAAGGCUUGACAUGUGCCAGACCGCCGUGGAAACACGGUUUCCCCUUUGGGGCUGGUUCACAGGUGGUGCAUGGUUGUCGUCAGCUCGUGUCGUGAGAUGUUGGGUUAAGUCCCGCAACGAGCGCAACCCUCGUUCCAUGUUGCCAGCGCGUAAAGGCGGGGACUCAUGGGAGACUGCCGGGGUCAACUCGGAGGAAGGUGGGGACGACGUCAAAUCAUCAUGCCCCUUAUGUCUUGGGCUUCACGCAUGCUACAAUGGCCGGUACAAAGGGUUGCGAUACUGUGAGGUGGAGCUAAUCCCAAAAAGCCGGUCUCAGUUCGGAUUGAGGUCUGCAACUCGACCUCAUGAAGUCGGAGUCGCUAGUAAUCGCAGAUCAGCAACGCUGCGGUGAAUACGUUCCCGGGCCUUGUACACACCGCCCGUCAAGUCACGAAAGUUGGUAACACCCGAAGCCGGUGGCCUAACCCCUUGUGGGAGGGAGCCGUCGAAGGUGGGACUGGCGAUUGGGACUAAG